AUACGUAGGUGACAAGCGUUAUCCGGAUUUACUGGGCGUAAAGGGCGUGUAGGCGGUCUUGCAAGUCAGAAGUGAAAUUCCUGAGCUCAACUCGGGCGCUGCUUCUGAAACUGCAGGACUUGAGUGCUGGAGGGGAUAGCGGAAUUCCUAGUGGAGCGGUAAAAUGCGCAGAUAUUAGGAAGAACACCGGUGGCGAAGGCGGCUAUCUGGACAGUAACUGACGCUGAGGCGCGAAAGCGUGGGGAGCAAACAGGAUUAGAUACCCUGGUAGUCCACACUGUAAACGAUGAAUGCUAGGUGUAGUGGGUAUCGACCCCUUCUGUGCCGCAGUAAACACAAUAAGCAUUCCGCCUGGGGAGUACGGUCGCAAGAUUAAAACUUAAAUGAAUUGGCGGGG
This 397-nucleotide ribosomal RNA is filed under the name uncultured bacterium. RNAcentral's name for it is "partial 16S ribosomal RNA". It matches the Rfam family "Bacterial small subunit ribosomal RNA", at positions 523 to 918 of the family's 1533-position model. The record is from RNAcentral.